UAGCAUAUCAAUAAGCGGAGGAAAAGAAACUAACAAGGAUUCCCCUAGUAACUGCGAGUGAAGCGGGAAGAGCUCAAAUUUAAAAUCUGGCGGUCUCAGGCCGUCCGAGUUGUAAACUGGAGAAGCGUUUUCCGCGCCGGACCGUGUACAAGUCUCUUGGAACAGAGCGUCGUAGAGGGUGAGAAUCCCGUCUUUGACACGGACUACCGGUGCUCUGUGAUACGCUCUCGAAGAGUCGAGUUGUUUGGGAAUGCAGCUCAAAAUGGGUGGUAAAUUCCAUCUAAAGCUAAAUAUUGGCGAGAGACCGAUAGCGAACAAGUACCGUGAGGGAAAGAUGAAAAGCACUUUGGAAAGAGAGUUAAACAGUACGUGAAAUUGUUGAAAGGGAAACGCUUGAAGUCAGUCACGUCCGCCGGGACUCAGCCUUGCCUUCCGCAUGGUGUACUUUCCGGUAGACGGGCCAGCAUCGAUUUUGAACGCCGGAAAAAGGUGGGGGGAAUGUGGCACCUCCGGGUGUGUUAUAGCCCCUUGUCAUAUACGGUGGUCGGGAUCGAGGACCGCAGCCUUCGGGCUUAGGAUGCUGGCAUAAUGGCUUUAAACGACCCGUCUUGAAACACGGACCAAGGAGUCUAACAUGCCCGCGAGUGUUUGGGUGGAAAACCCGAGCGCGCAAUGAAAGUGAAAGUUGAGACCUCUGUCGCGGAGGGCAUCGACGCCCGGACCUGAACCACGGUGACGGAUCUGCGGUAGAGCGUGUAUGUUGGGACCCGAAAGAUGGUGAACUAUGCCUGAAUAGGGUGAAGCCAGAGGAAACUCUGGUGGAGGCUCGUAGCGAUUCUGACGUGCAAAUCGAUCGUCAAAUUUGGGUAUAGGGGCGAAAGACUAAUCGAACCAUCUAGUAGCUGGUUCCUGCCGA
Molecule: ribosomal RNA, 916 nt
Filed under: Boreostereum radiatum
Lineage: Eukaryota; Fungi; Basidiomycota; Agaricomycetes; Gloeophyllales; Gloeophyllaceae
Description: eukaryotic LSU rRNA
Rfam family: Eukaryotic large subunit ribosomal RNA
Source: RNAcentral